RNAcentral lists this ribosomal RNA (239 nucleotides) under uncultured bacterium. RNAcentral's name for it is "partial 16S ribosomal RNA". It matches the Rfam family "Bacterial small subunit ribosomal RNA", at positions 95 to 334 of the family's 1533-position model. The record is from RNAcentral.
CCGGCGCACGGGUGAGUAACACGUAUCCAACCUGCCGUCUACUCUUGGACAGCCUUCUGAAAGGAAGAUUAAUACAAGAUGGCAUCAUGAGUCCGCAUGUUCACAUGAUUAAAGGUAUUCCGGUAGACGAUGGGGAUGCGUUCCAUUAGAUAGUAGGCGGGGUAACGGCCCACCUAGUCUUCGAUGGAUAGGGGUUCUGAGAGGAAGGUCCCCCACAUUGGAACUGAGACACGGUCCAA